AGCGAACGCUGGCGGCAGGCUUAACACAUGCAAGUCGAGCGGGCGUAGCAAUACGUCAGCGGCAGACGGGUGAGUAACGCGUGGGAACAUACCUCUUGGUUCGGAACAACACAGGGAAACUUGUGCUAAUACCGGAUAAGCCCUUACGGGGAAAGAUUUAUCGCCGAAAGAUUGGCCCGCGUCUGAUUAGCUAGUUGGUGAGGUAACGGCUCACCAAGGCGACGAUCAGUAGCGGUCUGAGAGGAUGAUCAGCCACAUUGGGACUGAGACACGGCCCAAACUCCUACGGGAGGCAGCAGUGGGGAAUAUUGGACAAUGGGCGCAAGCCUGAUCCAGCCAUGCCGCGUGAGUGAUGAAGGCC
This 361-nucleotide ribosomal RNA is filed under the name uncultured bacterium. RNAcentral describes it as "bacterial SSU rRNA". It matches the Rfam family "Bacterial small subunit ribosomal RNA", at positions 29 to 416 of the family's 1533-position model. The record is from RNAcentral.